GACGAACGCUGGCGGCGUGCUUAACACAUGCAAGUCGAACGGAAAGGCCCUGCUUGCAGGGUACUCGAGUGGCGAACGGGUGAGUAACACGUGGGUGAUCUGCCCUGCACUUCGGGAUAAGCUUGGGAAACCGGGUCUAAUACCGGAUAGGAGCCAUCUUUAGUGUGGUGGUUGGAAAGUUUUUUCGGUGUAGGAUGAGCUCGCGGCCUAUCAGCUUGUUGGUGGGGUAAUGGCCUACCAAGGCGGCGACGGGUAGCCGGCCUGAGAGGGUGUACGGCCACAUUGGGACUGAGAUACGGCCCAGACUCCUACGGGAGGCAGCAGUGGGGAAUAUUGCACAAUGGGCGCAAGCCUGAUGCAGCGACGCCGCGUGGGGGAUGAAGGCCUUCGGGUUGUAAACUCCUUUCGCUAGGGACGAAGCUUUUUGUGACGGUACCUAGAUAAGAAGCACCGGCUAACUACGUG
This 465-nucleotide ribosomal RNA is filed under the name uncultured bacterium. RNAcentral's name for it is "partial 16S ribosomal RNA". It matches the Rfam family "Bacterial small subunit ribosomal RNA", at positions 28 to 507 of the family's 1533-position model. The record is from RNAcentral.